Molecule: non-coding RNA, 224 nt
Organism: Cinara cedri
Lineage: Eukaryota; Metazoa; Arthropoda; Insecta; Hemiptera; Aphididae
Source: the annotation of a GenBank genome assembly
GAAUAUACCGAAAUUGGAUGCAGUUUUCGUCGAUCAUUCUUCCGUCAUGAAAGGUGCUAUACCCGUGUUGCCGAUAAGCUUGGCUUGGCUGUGCUUGGUUUUCAACGUCAUCGUACCGGGAUCAUGUAAAAACACCUACGUCUCUUGCGAGGGUUUCUCAGCCGUCCGUAAUAGAGGUACACCGGGGAAUAGCACGCACCCAAAGCGAAAUAAUUUCUGUAGGC